UUCAACGUUACAAAAUCCCCCACUCACGGAGUUAGGAUUUCAGAAGCAAAUCCCACAAACUUCAAGCAAACGUGUUUCAUUUUUCAAAGGUAUUAUUAAUUAACAAAUAUAUGAAAUAAUAGCAAUGGCAUUGAAACAGCUUCGCUUCCGCUCCGUACAUUGAAUAAUGUCUCAUAUACUCUCUCAGAACAAAGGCAACCCACUUUCUUCAUCCUUUGCAUUCUAACAAAACAUAUCGGAUCUACGGAAUCGUAUUCCAUCCCGUCGCAUUCCUUAUUGGAGAGAGACAACAGCUGCAGGGAUGAGACUGAAAAAAAAGAGGACAAGACAGAGAGAAGUUAGGAAACUAAAAGGAACAAAAUAGAAUAUAUUCCCAGUCCACAAACGAGCAGGAACUGUUUUAUUUGUAGAAUAGGAGGAUCGGCUUACACAUUAAAUACAGGUCAAUACAGAAGUUGCACGACGCUAAGGCAAGACUCCUACACGAUAGGACAGCGCCAAAGGAAAUCCUGCAUUGAUACACGAUAGGAGUGUGUAAAUGUAAAAGAGAAGAAAAAUGUGGACAAAAAGAGUCAUAACAAUGUAGACAUGGUUCUGAAAUAGCAAGGUGACAAAACGGAUGGGUAUGAAGUGUGAGCUAGACAAAAAGGGAAAGCUGAAAAGAUGUGACGGAAGAAUGAGGUAUAAGAAGGUAAAAAAAAAAAAACGUCAUGACAAAUAAAUGAAUUAAAAACAAAACAAUAAAUAAGGCUGCGUUGAGCGUGAUUAAAUCAUUAUAUCCCCAUAUGACAACCUAGAAGCCAAUAAAAAAGAAAAGAAAAGGAAAUUGAAAAAUCCUUGACAUGAGGGCUGUGAUGGGUCAACCCCAUACAAUCUAAGAUAGGAGACGAAAAUAAUCAUCUUCUAUUUUCUAUCGGCAA
This 920-nucleotide small RNA is filed under the name Histoplasma capsulatum. RNAcentral's name for it is "hypothetical RNA". Lineage: Eukaryota; Fungi; Ascomycota; Eurotiomycetes; Onygenales; Ajellomycetaceae. RNAcentral also lists the same sequence under 1 other name. The record is from RNAcentral.